This 569-nucleotide ribosomal RNA is filed under the name Papiliotrema laurentii. Its description in RNAcentral is "partial large subunit ribosomal RNA". It matches the Rfam family "Eukaryotic large subunit ribosomal RNA", at positions 100 to 659 of the family's 3401-position model. The record is from RNAcentral. Lineage: Eukaryota; Fungi; Basidiomycota; Tremellomycetes; Tremellales; Rhynchogastremaceae.
GGGAAGAGCUCAAUUUGAAAUCUGGCGUCCUCAGGGCGUCCGAGUUGUAAUCUAUAGAGGCGUUUUCCGUGCCGGACCGUGUCCAAGUUCCUUGGAACAGGAUAUCAAAGAGGGUGACAAUCCCGUACUUGACACGACGACCGGUGCUCUGUGAUACGUCUUCUACGAGUCGAGUUGUUUGGGAAUGCAGCUCAAAAUGGGUGGUGAGUUCCAUCUAAAGCUAAAUAUUGGCGAGAGACCGAUAGCGAACAAGUACCGUGAGGGAAAGAUGAAAAGCACUUUGGAAAGAGAGUUAAACAGUACGUGAAAUUGUUGAAAGGGAAACGAUUGAAGUCAGUCGUGACCGAGAGGCUCAGCCGGCUCUGCCGGUGUAUUCCCCUCGGUCGGGUCAACAUCAGUUUUGUCCGGUGGAUAAGGGCGGUAGGAAGGUGGCACCCUCGGGUGUGUUAUAGCCUGCCGUCGCAUACAUCGGGUGAGACUGAGGAACGCAGCUCGCCUUUAUGGCCGGGGUUCGCCCACGUCCGAGCUUAGGAUGUUGACAUAAUGGCUUUAAACGACCCGUCUUGAAA